CAGUUCGGACUGCAGGCUGAAACCCGCCUGUAUGAAGUUGGAAUCGCUAGUAAUCGCGGAUCAGCAUGCCGCGGUGAAUACGUUCCCGGGCCUUGUACACACCGCCCGUCAAACCAUGAGAGUUGGCAACACCCGAAGUCGGUAGUCUAACCGCAAGGAGGACGCCGCCGAAGGUGGGGUUGAUGAUUAGGGUUAAGUCGUAACAAGGUAUC
This 212-nucleotide ribosomal RNA is filed under the name uncultured bacterium. Its description in RNAcentral is "partial 16S ribosomal RNA". It matches the Rfam family "Bacterial small subunit ribosomal RNA", at positions 1289 to 1500 of the family's 1533-position model. The record is from RNAcentral.